Molecule: ribosomal RNA, 492 nt
Filed under: uncultured bacterium
Lineage: Bacteria
Description: partial 16S ribosomal RNA
Rfam family: Bacterial small subunit ribosomal RNA
Source: RNAcentral
AGUGAACGCUGGCGGUAGGCCUAACACAUGCAAGUCGAACGGCAGCACAGUAAGAGCUUGCUCUUACGGGUGGCGAGUGGCGGACGGGUGAGGAAUACAUCGGAAUCUACUUUUUCGUGGGGGAUAACGUAGGGAAACUUACGCUAAUACCGCAUACGACCUACGGGUGAAAGCAGGGGAUCUUCGGACCUUGCGCGAUUGAAUGAGCCGAUGUCGGAUUAGCUAGUUGGCGGGGUAAAGGCCCACCAAGGCGACGAUCCGUAGCUGGUCUGAGAGGAUGAUCAGCCACACUGGAACUGAGACGCGGUCCAGACUCCUACGGGAGGCAGCAGUGGGGAAUAUUGGACAAUGGGCGAAAGCCUGAUCCAGCCAUACCGCGUGGGUGAAGAAGGCCUUCGGGUUGUAAAGCCCUUUUGUUGGGAAAGAAAAGCAGCAGGUUAAUACCCCGCUGUUCUGACGGUACCAAAAGAAUAAGCACCGGCUAACUUCGUG